This 2923-nucleotide ribosomal RNA is filed under the name Klebsiella pneumoniae. RNAcentral's name for it is "bacterial LSU rRNA". It matches the Rfam family "Bacterial large subunit ribosomal RNA". Lineage: Bacteria; Pseudomonadati; Pseudomonadota; Gammaproteobacteria; Enterobacterales; Enterobacteriaceae. The record is from RNAcentral.
GGGUUGUGAGGUUAAGCGACUAAGCGUACACGGUGGAUGCCCUGGCAGUCAGAGGCGAUGAAGGACGUGCUAAUCUGCGAAAAGCGUCGGUAAGGUGAUAUGAACCGUUAUAACCGGCGAUGUCCGAAUGGGGAAACCCAGUGCAAUUCGUUGCACUAUCGUUAACUGAAUACAUAGGUUAACGAGGCGAACCGGGGGAACUGAAACAUCUAAGUACCCCGAGGAAAAGAAAUCAACCGAGAUUCCCCCAGUAGCGGCGAGCGAACGGGGAGCAGCCCAGAGUCUGAAUCAGCUUGUGUGUUAGUGGAACGGUCUGGAAAGUCCGACGGUACAGGGUGAUAGUCCCGUACACCAAAAUGCACAGGUUGUGAACUCGAAGAGUAGGGCGGGACACGUGGUAUCCUGUCUGAAUAUGGGGGGACCAUCCUCCAAGGCUAAAUACUCCUGACUGACCGAUAGUGAACCAGUACCGUGAGGGAAAGGCGAAAAGAACCCCGGCGAGGGGAGUGAAAAAGAACCUGAAACCGUGUACGUACAAGCAGUGGGAGCACCUUCGGGUGUGACUGCGUACCUUUUGUAUAAUGGGUCAGCGACUUAUAUUCUGUAGCAAGGUUAACCGUAUAGGGGAGCCGCAGGGAAACCGAGUCUUAACUGGGCGUUAAGUUGCAGGGUAUAGACCCGAAACCCGGUGAUCUAGCCAUGGGCAGGUUGAAGGUUGGGUAACACUAACUGGAGGACCGAACCGACUAAUGUUGAAAAAUUAGCGGAUGACUUGUGGCUGGGGGUGAAAGGCCAAUCAAACCGGGAGAUAGCUGGUUCUCCCCGAAAGCUAUUUAGGUAGCGCCUCGUGAACUCAUCUUCGGGGGUAGAGCACUGUUUCGGCUAGGGGGUCAUCCCGACUUACCAACCCGAUGCAAACUACGAAUACCGAAGAAUGUUAUCACGGGAGACACACGGCGGGUGCUAACGUCCGUCGUGAAGAGGGAAACAACCCAGACCGCCAGCUAAGGUCCCAAAGUCAUGGUUAAGUGGGAAACGAUGUGGGAAGGCACAGACAGCCAGGAUGUUGGCUUAGAAGCAGCCAUCAUUUAAAGAAAGCGUAAUAGCUCACUGGUCGAGUCGGCCUGCGCGGAAGAUGUAACGGGGCUAAACCAUGCACCGAAGCUGCGGCAGCGACACUAUGUGUUGUUGGGUAGGGGAGCGUUCUGUAAGCCUGCGAAGGUGUGCUGUGAGGCAUGCUGGAGGUAUCAGAAGUGCGAAUGCUGACAUAAGUAACGAUAAAGCGGGUGAAAAGCCCGCUCGCCGGAAGACCAAGGGUUCCUGUCCAACGUUAAUCGGGGCAGGGUGAGUCGACCCCUAAGGCGAGGCCGAAAGGCGUAGUCGAUGGGAAACAGGUUAAUAUUCCUGUACUUGGUGUUACUGCGAAGGGGGGACGGAGAAGGCUAUGUUAGCCGGGCGACGGUUGUCCCGGUUUAAGCAUGUAGGCUGGUUGUCCAGGCAAAUCCGGAUAAUCAAGGCUGAGGUGUGAUGACGAGGCACUACGGUGCUGAAGUAACAAAUGCCCUGCUUCCAGGAAAAGCCUCUAAGCAUCAGGUAACAUCAAAUCGUACCCCAAACCGACACAGGUGGUCAGGUAGAGAAUACCAAGGCGCUUGAGAGAACUCGGGUGAAGGAACUAGGCAAAAUGGUGCCGUAACUUCGGGAGAAGGCACGCUGGUGUGUAGGUGAAGCCCCUGCGGGUGGAGCUGAGACCAGUCGAAGAUACCAGCUGGCUGCAACUGUUUAUUAAAAACACAGCACUGUGCAAACACGAAAGUGGACGUAUACGGUGUGACGCCUGCCCGGUGCCGGAAGGUUAAUUGAUGGGGUUAUCCGUAAGGAGAAGCUCUUGAUCGAAGCCCCGGUAAACGGCGGCCGUAACUAUAACGGUCCUAAGGUAGCGAAAUUCCUUGUCGGGUAAGUUCCGACCUGCACGAAUGGCGUAAUGAUGGCCAGGCUGUCUCCACCCGAGACUCAGUGAAAUUGAACUCGCUGUGAAGAUGCAGUGUACCCGCGGCAAGACGGAAAGACCCCGUGAACCUUUACUAUAGCUUGACACUGAACAUUGAGCCUUGAUGUGUAGGAUAGGUGGGAGGCUUUGAAGCGUGGACGCCAGUCUGCGUGGAGCCAACCUUGAAAUACCACCCUUUAAUGUUUGAUGUUCUAACGUUGGCCCCUUAUCGGGGUUGCGGACAGUGUCUGGUGGGUAGUUUGACUGGGGCGGUCUCCUCCCAAAGCGUAACGGAGGAGCACGAAGGUUAGCUAAUCCUGGUCGGACAUCAGGAGGUUAGUGCAAUGGCAUAAGCUAGCUUGACUGCGAGCGUGACGGCGCGAGCAGGUGCGAAAGCAGGUCAUAGUGAUCCGGUGGUUCUGAAUGGAAGGGCCAUCGCUCAACGGAUAAAAGGUACUCCGGGGAUAACAGGCUGAUACCGCCCAAGAGUUCAUAUCGACGGCGGUGUUUGGCACCUCGAUGUCGGCUCAUCACAUCCUGGGGCUGAAGUAGGUCCCAAGGGUAUGGCUGUUCGCCAUUUAAAGUGGUACGCGAGCUGGGUUUAGAACGUCGUGAGACAGUUCGGUCCCUAUCUGCCGUGGGCGCUGGAGAAUUGAGGGGGGCUGCUCCUAGUACGAGAGGACCGGAGUGGACGCAUCACUGGUGUUCGGGUUGUCAUGCCAAUGGCACUGCCCGGUAGCUAAAUGCGGAAGAGAUAAGUGCUGAAAGCAUCUAAGCACGAAACUUGCCCCGAGAUGAGUUCUCCCUGAGACUUUAAGUCUCCUGAAGGAACGUUAAAGACGAUGACGUUGAUAGGCCGGGUGUGUAAGCGCAGCGAUGCGUUGAGCUAACCGGUACUAAUGAACCGUGAGGCUUAACCUUACAACGCCGAAG